AGCUCAUUGGUAGAGCACUUGUCUCAUAUAUAUGAGGUCUUAGGUUCGAUCCCUGA
RNAcentral lists this transfer RNA (56 nucleotides) under Mus musculus (house mouse). It matches the Rfam family "tRNA", at positions 9 to 63 of the family's 71-position model. From Rfam's summary of the family: Transfer RNA (tRNA) molecules are approximately 80 nucleotides in length. Their secondary structure includes four short double-helical elements and three loops (D, anti-codon, and T loops). The record is from Rfam by way of RNAcentral. Lineage: Eukaryota; Metazoa; Chordata; Mammalia; Rodentia; Muridae.